This 460-nucleotide ribosomal RNA is filed under the name uncultured bacterium. RNAcentral's name for it is "partial 16S ribosomal RNA". It matches the Rfam family "Bacterial small subunit ribosomal RNA", at positions 338 to 795 of the family's 1533-position model. The record is from RNAcentral.
CCUACGGGUGUCAGCAGUGAGGAAUAUUGGUCAAUGGCCGAGAGUCUGAACCAGCCAAGUCGCGUGAAGGAUGACUGCCCUAUGGGUUGUAAACUUCUUUUAUCAAGGAAUAAAACGAGGCCCGUGUGCCUUUUUGCAUGUACUUUAUGAAUAAGCAUCGGCUAACUCCGUGCCAGCAGCCGCGGUAAUACGGAGGAUCCGAGCGUUAUCCGGAUUUAUUGGGUUUAAAGGGUGUGUAGCGGGGUGGUGAAGUCAGUUGUGAAAGUUCGCGGGCCAACCGUAAAAGUGCGAUUGAUACUGGCUGUCUUGAGGACAGGUGAGGUAGGCGGAAUGCGUGGUGUAGCGGUGAAAUGCUUAGAGAUCACGCAGAACCCCGAUUGCGAAGGCAGCUUACUGACGUGUGACUGACAUUGAUGCACGAAAGUGGGGGUAUCAAACAGGAUUAGAUACCCGAGUAGUC